GAUGAAGAACGUAGCAAAAUGCGAUAAGUAAGGUGAAUUGCAGAAUUCAGUGAAUCAUCGAAUCUUUGAACGCACAUUGCGCCCGCCAGUAUUCUGGCGGGCAUGCCUGUUCGAGCGUCAUUUCAACCCUCAAGCACAGCUUGGUGUUGGGACUCGCGUUAAUUCGCGUUCCCCAAAUUGAUUGGCGGUCACGUCGAGCUUCCAUAGCGUAGUAGUAAAACCCUCGUUACUGGUAAUCGUCGCGGCCACGCCGUUAAACCCCAACUUCUGAAUGUUGACCUCGGAUCAGGUAGGAAUACCCGCUGAACUUAAGCAUAUCAAUAAGCGGAGGA
RNAcentral lists this unclassified non-coding RNA (332 nucleotides) under soil metagenome. Its description in RNAcentral is "partial contains 5.8S ribosomal RNA, internal transcribed spacer 2, and large subunit ribosomal RNA". The stretch from base 1 to 120 matches the Rfam family "5.8S ribosomal RNA", at positions 35 to 154 of the family's 154-position model. The record is from RNAcentral.